This 1464-nucleotide ribosomal RNA is filed under the name Triticum aestivum (bread wheat). Its description in RNAcentral is "partial small subunit ribosomal RNA". Lineage: Eukaryota; Viridiplantae; Streptophyta; Magnoliopsida; Poales; Poaceae. The record is from RNAcentral.
AUGAAGGGCUCCCACUCGCAGUCCCAGGCGGCAAGCCGUCGGCGGCGCUGUGGGUGGCUGCUCCCGCUUCUCGUUGGUGCUGCUUUUGUCGGCGAGAUCGCGUUCCUCGGUCGCCUCGACAUGUCGAAGAACGUUGCGGCGGUCGAGAGCUGGACCACCUCCUUCUACCGCCUCUCUUCGACCUGGGGCGCGGACGCACCUCCGGGUAGCGGGGACGACGGCGACGACUGCGAGGAGCGGCUCGAGAGGGAGGACGCCGUGCCCUACGACCGCGAUUUUGAAAGGGAUCCCGUACUUGUCGGCGGUGCUGCUAAGGAUUGGAAUAGAUGUUCUGUAGGAUGUGAAUUCGGGUUUCCAGCUAGUAAGACACCUGAUGCUACUUUCGGAAUCGCUCCAGAUCCUUCCGUAGAGAGUAUCCUCAGAUCAAUGGAAUCGUCUCAAUAUUAUUCCGAGAACAAUAUUAAUGCGGCUCGAGGAAGAGGGUACCAAAUUGUGAUGACAACCAGCCUUUCCUCAGAUGUGCCGGUUGGCUACUUUUCAUGGGCUGAAUAUGAUAUCAUGGCACCUGUGCCUCCAAAGACUGAAGAAGCCCUAGCUGCAGCCUUUAUUUCCAACUGCGGUGCACGCAACUUCCGUUUGCAAGCCCUUGAGAUGCUUGAAAGCUUAGAUGUAAAAAUUGAUUCUUAUGGUAGCUGUCAUCGUAAUCGUGAUGGCAAAGUGGACAAAGUGGAGACUCUAAAGCGCUACAAAUUCAGCUUGGCUUUUGAGAAUUCUAAUGAGGAAGAUUAUGUUACAGAAAAGUUUUUUCAGUCACUGGUAACAGGGGCCAUUCCAGUUGUCGUUGGCGCACCGAAUAUUCAAGAGUUUUCUCCAGGAGAAGGUGCAAUAUUACAUAUUAAGGAGCUUGAUGAUGUCAUUUCAGUUGCUAAGACAAUGAAACAUAUUGCAUCAAAUCCUGAUGCUUUUAAUCAAUCUUUGAGGUGGAAGUAUGAUGGUCCAUCUGAUUCUUUCAAGGCACUUAUUGACAUGGCAGCGGUUCAUUCAUCCUGUCGCCUUUGCAUACAUAUCGCUACGAAGAUUCAUGAAAAAGAAGAAAAAACACCAAAGUUUAUGAAUCGCUCAUGUAGUUGUUCCAGCAAAAGAGGAACAGUAUACCACUUAUUUGUCAGAGAGAGAGGGCGGUUUAAGACAGAGAGCAUUUAUCUAAGAUCAGAUCAGUUAACUUUAGGAGCUUUGGAGUCUGCCGUGCAUGGUAAAUUUAGAUCCCUCAAACAUGUUCCUGUAUGGAAGGAUGAAAGGCCAUCAGGUAUUCGAGGCGGGGAUGAGUUGAAGGUGUACAAAAUUUACCCAAUAGGUCUUACAGAAAGACAAGCGUUAUAUAAAUUUCAAUUCAAUGAUGAUGCUGAAGUUGCUAGAUACAUUAAGGGCCAUCCAUGUGCAAAGCUUGAGGUGAUUUUUGUAUAA